Molecule: small RNA, 837 nt
Filed under: Pongo abelii (Sumatran orangutan)
Lineage: Eukaryota; Metazoa; Chordata; Mammalia; Primates; Hominidae
Description: retained intron
Source: RNAcentral
GUAAAACUUCAGGAGAGCUUGUCCGUUGCUACAAGCUAUUUUUCAAAUGUCCCUACACAGUCCAGGCAGGAAAUUGAAGCACUCACAUCAGGAGCUCAGUGUCAGGCAGGCAAGGCUCCUGCAGGGGAGCCCCGCCCUGCUCAGGUGGCCUCAUCUCCCCUCCCAGCUGGUGGUGCUGCCCUAUCAGAUGCUGCUGCAUGCGGCCACUCGGCAGGCUGCGGGCAUCCGGCUGCAGGACCAGGUGGUGAUCAUCGACGAGGCGCACAACCUGAUCGACACCAUCACGGGCAUGCACAGCGUGGAGGUCAGCGGCUCCCAGCUCUGCCAGGCCAUUCCCAGCUGCUGCAAUACAUGGAGCGAUACGGGAAGCGUUUGAAGGCCAAGAACCUGAUGUACCUGAAGCAGAUCCUAUAUUUGCUGGAGAAAUUCGUGGCCGUGCUGGGGGGGAACAUUAAGCAAAAUCCCAAUACACAGAGCCUGUCACAGACAGGGACGGAGCUGAAGACCAUCAACGACUUUCUCUUCCAGAGCCAGAUCGACAACAUCAACCUGUUCAAGGUGCAGCGAUACUGUGAGAAGAGCAUGAUCAGCAGAAAGCUCUUUGGAUUCACUGAACGGUACGGAGCAGUGCUCUCAUCCCGGGAGCAGCCCAAACUGGCUGGGUUUCAGCAAUUCCUGCAGAGCCUGCAGCCCAGGACGACUGAAGCUCUUGCAGCCCCUGCAGACGAGAGUCAGGCCAGCGCCCCACGACCAGCUUCCCCACUGAUGCACAUCGAAGGCUUCCUGGCAGCUCUCACUGCGGCCAACCAGGACGGCAGGGUCAUCCUGAGCCGCCAA